UUUGGCAUGCACCUGGCAUACAAUGUAGAAAACUGUGUUUGUAAAUCAACAGCUACAUUGUCUGCUGGGUUUCAUGCUGAAUGG
This 84-nucleotide microRNA precursor is filed under the name Xenopus laevis (African clawed frog). RNAcentral's name for it is "mir-221 microRNA precursor family". It matches the Rfam family "mir-221 microRNA precursor family". Lineage: Eukaryota; Metazoa; Chordata; Amphibia; Anura; Pipidae. The record is from Rfam by way of RNAcentral.